Mytilus californianus (California mussel) is the source of this 1271-nucleotide long non-coding RNA. RefSeq lists it as uncharacterized. Lineage: Eukaryota; Metazoa; Mollusca; Bivalvia; Mytilida; Mytilidae. The transcript is spliced from 3 exons. The record is from RefSeq and is a predicted model, not a curated record.
AUUUCAAUAGACACCUGAAUGUUAUGCCUCCAGUUCUUACAGACUAACACAUACCUUUUCCAUUUUCGAUAAAGUCCUGAAAGUCUAUUGAAAGCUUAGUCUCGGCUGAAAACAAAAGAGCUGCCAAGCAGGGUUGCUAGACAAGAAGCGUGCUUACAAUAUGGUCGACAUCAUUAGCUGGUUUAUCUCCAUGGACUAUCUUUGCCAAAGAAUACAAUAGAUUUAUUCCAGUUGCCAUUUCUUUGAUUUCAAGCAUUUUAAAAAUAAAGAUUGAGGCUCAAGUGUAGCUUAUCUUUAAAAUCAAAUGCACGCAGUCGACCGCAGUUGACCGAUUGUCGUCGAACGUUGGAUUACACUAUUUCAUGGUUACUUUACACGGUGAAAACUAUUACAUUUGUUUGCAAUGAUGGCAUUUAUGAACAGACCAGAGAAGUAAACAAACUCAUGACAAAAAUGGAAGGAAAAGAGCAGUGUGAAAAAUUAGUUCUUCGUUAUAUGUAUAACCAGAUUUCAAAAUUACAGAGCUGUAUAUUUUAUACCACAGAGACGAAACUGUUCAAAUGAUUCCUUGUUGGUAAACAGCCAAUUCCAUCAUGAUACUCGACCAGGUAAAAGCUACAUGACAAUCAGAAAAUGAUUUAUAAUUUUAGUCAAAAACCGGGGAAAAAAAUGAAGACAAAAACAUUUGGCAUCAUUACAGCAGUCCAGAUAAAAUUUUCAUGUGUUUUAGGUGUAUGUAUUUUGACGUCCCAAUGUAUGUCGUCAAUAGAUACGGGCGUCCCUAAACUAUGGACUAUCCUCAAGGAAGGGAUACAAUACAAGUACCAAUUCUCCUGUUUAUUCCAGCAUCCAAGGGUUGCAACUGUUCAAAUGAUGAUGAUGGAAGCUUUUAACGACCUUGACUGGCUAUACAGCCCUCGCAAGGUCCGUGUAAUCUUUUUGGAGGAGCAAUCAUUCGACUUUUAUUGGGAAGUGUUGGUUGACGAUGUCUGGCCGAGAAGACUUAAUGCAGACUUGAUAGAACCAAUAUUGUGUUAGUUAAAUUACCAGAGUUGCAAAUAUUGACUAAGACUGGUCAAAUAUCACUUAUACAAAGGACUAUCCACAUGUUAAUAGUAUCUCACUGUCAUUUGAGUAACAAAAGAAAGGACACCGAGUUUGGCCAAUGUUUGAGUGCCAGAGAAUUGUAUUUAGUUUGGAUUUCUGACUAAUUAUUUAAAUCUUGAAUUUUACAAUUGGAUUAGUUACUAAAUAUAAACUUGCCAGUUUGA